This 76-nucleotide transfer RNA is filed under the name Zoogloeaceae bacterium. RNAcentral describes it as "tRNA-His". It matches the Rfam family "tRNA". From Rfam's summary of the family: Transfer RNA (tRNA) molecules are approximately 80 nucleotides in length. Their secondary structure includes four short double-helical elements and three loops (D, anti-codon, and T loops). Lineage: Bacteria; Pseudomonadati; Pseudomonadota; Betaproteobacteria; Rhodocyclales; Zoogloeaceae. The record is from RNAcentral.
GCGGCAUUAGCUCAGUUGGUAGAGCACUGGAUUGUGGCUCCAGUGGUCACCGGUUCGAUUCCGGUAUGUCGCCCCA